RNAcentral lists this ribosomal RNA (253 nucleotides) under uncultured bacterium. RNAcentral's name for it is "partial 16S ribosomal RNA". It matches the Rfam family "Bacterial small subunit ribosomal RNA", at positions 524 to 776 of the family's 1533-position model. The record is from RNAcentral.
UACGAAGGGGGAUAGCGUUGUUCGGAAUGACUGGGCGGAAAGCGCACGUAGGCGGAUUGUUCAGUUGGGGGUGAAAUCCCGUGGCUCAACCUCGGAACUGCCUCCAAUACUGCCAAUCUUGAGUUCGGGAGAGGUGAGUGGAAUUCCUAGUGUAGAGGUGAAAUUCGUAGAUAUUAGGAAGAACACCAGUGGCGAAGGCGGCUCACUGGCCCGAUACUGACGAUGAGGUGCGAAAGCGUGGGGAGCACACAGG